CUUCAGCGAGCCCAGCAGGAGCGGCUGUUCGGCCGGGCGGUUCUGCCCGUACGUGGCGAGGAGUGCCUGGGCCUC
This 75-nucleotide antisense RNA is filed under the name Streptomyces sp. ScaeMP-e48. RNAcentral's name for it is "ASpks TB sRNA". It matches the Rfam family "ASpks TB sRNA". Lineage: Bacteria; Bacillati; Actinomycetota; Actinomycetes; Kitasatosporales; Streptomycetaceae. The record is from RNAcentral.